Molecule: non-coding RNA, 76 nt
Organism: Myotis davidii
Lineage: Eukaryota; Metazoa; Chordata; Mammalia; Chiroptera; Vespertilionidae
Source: Rfam
GAGACACCCUUCUGGGGCAAGACUUGCUUCAGUGGGGCUUUGGUGCUCACUGCGUCUGCCCCCUGAGUGUGUCCCU